Molecule: non-coding RNA, 1666 nt
Organism: Equus caballus (horse)
Lineage: Eukaryota; Metazoa; Chordata; Mammalia; Perissodactyla; Equidae
Source: RefSeq, a predicted model, not a curated record
AAUCCUGGGGGUUACAGGCAGCAAACUCAAGCCACCAAAUUUCUCGGUCCCUUCCCUCCCGCCCCCACAUACGCACACACUACACUCAGCUUCCUGACUUCUUUUGUUUCUUGAGUGUGUUGAUCAGAUUCCAGCCUCAGGGCCUUUGCACGGGCUAUUUCCUCUGCCUCAAACACUUGAAGGGACUGGCUCUUUCUCAGUCUCAGGCUUCAGCUUGCAUGUUGCCUCCUCGGAGAGGCUCUCCCUGACCACCUGAGCUUUAAAGUGUGCUCUUCCCACCCACCCCCCAAUCCCUCGAGCUUGUCCACUCAUUCCUUUAUCUGCCCAGAAUAUGCUGACUGCCUCCUGUGGGCCAGGCCUGACUCUGGGCAUGUGGGAUAGAACAGUGAACAGAGCAGAGCACCUCCCUGCCCUCUUGGAGCUGCCAUUCUCCCAAGGGAGACAGACAGACAGACAGGCACCAGUGACUAUACAGUACAAUGUGCUGAGGAGGGUCGGGGGAGAGUCAAGCCCGGGUGGGGGAAUCAGGAUGCCGGUGGGGAGGAGUCUGCAUGUUGCAGGGGGGAAGGUGCCUCUCAGGAAGUGACGCCAGGGAAAGAUUUGAAGGGAGUAGGGGAGGGGGCCAUGUGAGCAUCUGGGGAAAGAGGUUCAGGCAGAGGGAAGAGCAGGUGCAAAGGCCCUGAGGCAGGAAUAUGGCUGGCAUAAUGAAGGAGCAGCAAGGAGGCCAGUGUGGCUGGAGCAGAGUGUGUGAAGUGGGAUGAGGUCAGCGAGGGAGCGGGGUGGCAGACCAAGCAGACCAUGGUGAGAAUUUGGCUUUUGUCCUGAGUGAGGUGGGAGCACCUGACGGGUCCUGAGCAGAGGGACAACAGAGGUGGUGAGACGUAGUCCGCUUCCAGGUAGACUUCAGGGGGAGAACGGACCGUGUCGCGAUGGAUCGGGGCGAGGGCUGGGGAGAGGCGGGCGCCAGGAUAGCAUUCACAUUGGAACCAGGACCUCCUGACCCUCCCGGCAGACGGCAGCAUCCCCGCCUCCCCCUGCCUGACUGGAGGCCGAGCCCUGGACCAGGACACGCCCCCCCGCCCCCCGACAAGUGCGCUGGUGCUUCCAAGGUCAGGCCCAAAUCUGUGCCGGGCAGGGGGCAGCUUCGCGCCACUGAGCCUCCCCCACGCCGGCUGCCUGGGGGGACCCUAGUCUUCCCUCCUGCCCGUUCGAACCAGCAGCACUUACUGAGCUGGAGCAGUGAGGAGCGAGACAGACACGGUCUCUGCCCACGGGGAGCGCAGAUGUCCAACAGCGAAAGCCGGACAGAGGGUCCCAGUCAGCGAGCCCGCGGCCCGGGUGACCAAGCCAGGAACCCUGGCUGCUCUCGGGGAGGACACGGCUGCAGGCCAGCACUAAUGCUGAGGGCCGCCCUUUGCUGAGCCGUUAGUGGGAUUAACUUGUUCGUCCUCAGAACAGCUGCUACGGUCCCCAUUUCACAGAUGGGGAAACCGAGGCACGGGGAAGCAGAGGGCAGGAUGCGCAGAGCUGGCUUUGUCCUGCGUGGCUGGCUCUGGCCCUGCCCUCUCAGCGUGUCCCACCUGGGCUGGUUGUCAGGUGUGGAAAUAGGGUCUUAUGGUCCAGUGUAUCCUACUGUUAGGUGUGGAAAAAAAGUUUAACUGAUAAA